This 441-nucleotide ribosomal RNA is filed under the name uncultured bacterium. RNAcentral's name for it is "partial 16S ribosomal RNA". It matches the Rfam family "Bacterial small subunit ribosomal RNA", at positions 338 to 795 of the family's 1533-position model. The record is from RNAcentral.
CCUACGGGAGGCAGCAGUGGGGAAUAUUGCACAAUGGGGGAAACCCUGAUGCAGCAACGCCGCGUGGGCGAUGGAGCGCUUCUGCGCGUAAAGCCCUGUCAGCGGGGAAGAAGAAAGACGGUACCCGACCAUGAAGCCCCGGCUAACUCCGUGCCAGCAGCCGUGGUAAUACGUAGGGGGCGAGCGUUGUCCGGAAUUACUGGGUGGAAAGGCUGCGUAGACGGCGUGGUAAGCCUGAAGUGGAAGCCCGCGGCCCAACCGCGGGACUGCUUUGGGGACUGUUUAGCUGGAGUAUGGGAGGGGUAAGCGGAAUUCCUGGUGAAGCGGUGAAAUGCGUAGAUAUCAGGAGGAACACCGGUGGCGAAGGCGGCUUACUGGACCAUAACUGACGUUGAGGCUCGAAAGCGUGGGGAGCAAACAGGAUUAGAUACCCUAGUAGUC